UCUCUAGAAUGAGGAUGAGCUUCGGGUUGACCUUCAGGACAGCAAAAGGCCGCUGCAUGGCCAAUCUCAGCCGGCAGUGCUCACGUGGAUCCAUGGGGUUAUUUGUGCCACCAAGUCCUCCUCUGGACCUUGAGAAGGUCAAAGAAUUACAGCACUUCAUCACCCUUUCCAAGAGACUCCUAGUGAUGACUGGGGCAGGAAUCUCCACUGAGUCGGGGAUCCCAGACUACAGGUCAGAAAAGGUGGGACUGUAUGCCCGCACUGACCGGAGGCCCAUCCAGCAUGCGGAUUUUGUACGGAGUGCUCCAAUCCGCCAGCGGUACUGGGCGAGAAACUUUGUGGGCUGGCCUCAGUUCUCCUCCCACCAGCCUAACCCUGCACACUUGGCUUUGAGCAACUGGGAGAGACUUGGGAAGGUAUACUGGUUGGUGACUCAGAAUGUGGAUGCCUUGCACACCAAGGCAGGCAGUCAGCGCCUGACAGAACUCCACGGAUGCAUGCACAGGGUCCUCUGCUUGGAUUGUGGUGAACAGACUCCCCGUGGGGUGCUGCAGGAGCGGUUUGAAGUCUUGAACCCCAGCUGGAGUGCCGAGGCCCAUGGCCUGGCUCCCGAUGGUGACGUCUUUCUCACAGAGGAGGAGGUACAGAGCUUUCGGGUCCCAUCCUGCGCUCGAUGUGGAGGCCGCCUGAAACCAGAUGUCGUUUUCUUCGGGGAUGCAGUGAGCCCUGACAAGGUUGACUUUGUGCACAGGCGUGUGAGAGAAGCCGACUCCCUCUUGGUUGUGGGAUCAUCCUUGCAGGUGUACUCUGGUUACAGGUUUAUCCUCACUGCCCAGGAGAAGAAGCUACCAAUUGCAAUACUGAACAUUGGGCCCACACGGUCGGAUGACUUGGCAUGUCUGAAACUGGAUUCUCGUUGCGGAGAGUUGCUGCCUUUAAUAGACCCGCACUGACCACAGCCUGAUGUUCCUGAGCCAGAAACUGGAACUUGAAUCUUGCUGCUAAAGAUCCCUAAGAUUCAUCCCUUCUUCCUCUAACUAAUCGAAGCUCGCUGAGUGCAGCCUGUAGAGGGCAGCAAACCAGUAUCUCUCUGCCAGCCCAUCUCGGACCUGGGCAGGUUUCAGAGCCAAGCAGUUCAGAUCUUCAGGCUGAUGAGAUUUGCCCCUGAAGAAAGACUUUCUCAAAGCAGCAGCUUCUCUUAAUAGGAAAACUGCUUUCACUUCCUUUUUAUCCACUAAGCAGAAGAAAUGGCCCGGUUAAUAUGUGGGCCAGAAUGGUCUUUGGAGUGCUAAUCUAGGGAUUUCACUAAUGUGGGGGUAAGGGGAGAAGGACAUGACUUAAUUUUAUAAUCCCAAAUGGUUAAAUGUCUUUAACUGAACCAUUCUGAUAUAUUUUUUGAAAAGAUGAGUAACGGUAUGAAUUAAUUUUUUAUUAACCAAGGAAUAAAGGAAUCAUUUU
Ceratotherium simum simum (southern white rhinoceros) is the source of this 1458-nucleotide non-coding RNA. The record is from RefSeq and is a predicted model, not a curated record. Lineage: Eukaryota; Metazoa; Chordata; Mammalia; Perissodactyla; Rhinocerotidae.